UGCCAGCCGCCGCGGUAAUACGUAGGGGCCAAACGUGGUCCGGAUUUAUUGUGCGUAAAGGGCUCGUAGGCGGUUCAACAAGUCGGUCGUGAACGCCCGGGGCUCAACUCCGGGACGCCGGUCGAUACUGUUGUGACUAGAGUUCGGUAGAGGUGAGUGGAAUUCUCAGUGUAGCGGUGGAAUGCGCAGAUAUCAGGAGGAACACCAACGGCGAAGGCAGCGCUCUGGGCCAAUAAGGAAGCGGAGGAGAGAACGCAUGGGGCGCAAACAGGAGUAGAUC
RNAcentral lists this ribosomal RNA (280 nucleotides) under uncultured bacterium. RNAcentral describes it as "partial 16S ribosomal RNA". It matches the Rfam family "Bacterial small subunit ribosomal RNA", at positions 506 to 784 of the family's 1533-position model. The record is from RNAcentral.